This 547-nucleotide long non-coding RNA is filed under the name Homo sapiens (human). RNAcentral's name for it is "HSALNT0334837". Lineage: Eukaryota; Metazoa; Chordata; Mammalia; Primates; Hominidae. The record is from RNAcentral.
CUGCCAUCCAAGUAAGUUGGGAUUUGCUUUUCCUUACCCUCCUCCAUGAGUGUGAGGCUUCCCCAGCCACGUAGAACUAUCAACCCUGAGGAUUGGGAAGGAACUAUACAUACCAGGAGGCAAGGAGCACUGGGGGCCCUCCUGGAACUGCCUGUCACAGCGUCCUCAAAGGUUUUCACUCUCCUAGGAUGACCCAGGUAUAGAAUCUGCCCCUAUGGUUCGGCUCCACCCUCUCACCUGUCUCUUGAGAGCAUUGUGAAAUUCUGAGACACAGCAAGGACAGAAACAGAGGGCAUGGAAGAUGCUUUCAGCAGUAUGAUGGUACUUCCAGUACCCCAGUGACACCUAGCCUGAGAAAGAAGCAGAGAUAAAGUCUAUAGAGGAAGAGAGCAUCUGAAUGACGUUUGAGUCCCUGGAUCCACUGUGUGAAGCCAGAGCCACUCCUGCAAGUGUUUUGUUUAGGUUUAAAUUUGAUUGAGAUUUUUAUUACUUCAAAGUAAAAAAUUCUUACUAAUGCAAUGCCUUCAGCCUUCCACCUCAAAGUCAC